AGGACGAACGCUGCGGGCGUGCUUAACACAUGCAAGUCGAACGGAAAGGCCUGCAGCUUGCUGCGGGUACUCGAGUGGCGAACGGGUGAGUAACACGUGGGUGAUCUGCCUUGCACUUCGGGAUAAGCUUGGGAAACUGGGUCUAAUACCGGAUAGGACAGCUGUUUAGUGUCAGUUGUGGAAAGUUUUUUCGGUGCAAGAUGAGCUCGCGGCCUAUCAGCUUGUUGGUGGGGUAAUGGCCUACCAAGGCGUCGACGGGUAGCCGGCCUGAGAGGGUGUACGGCCACAUUGGGACUGAGAUACGGCCCAGACUCCUACGGGAGGCAGCAGUGGGGAAUAUUGCACAAUGGGCGGAAGCCUGAUGCAGCGACGCCGCGUGGGGGAUGAAGGCCUUCGGGUUGUAAACUCCUUUCGACAGGGACGAAGCGUAAGUGACGGUACCUGUAUAAGAAGCACCGGCUAACUACGUGCCAGCAGCCGCGGUAAUACGUAGGGUGCGAGCGUUGUCCGGAAUUACUGGGCGUAAAGAGCUCGUAGGUGGUUUGUCGCGUCGUCUGUGAAAUUCCGGGGCUUAACUCCGGGCGUGCAGGCGAUACGGGCUGACUUGAGUGCUGUAGGGGAGACUGGAAUUCCUGGUGUAGCGGUGAAAUGCGCAGAUAUCAGGAGGAACACCGAUGGCGAAGGCAGGUCUCUGGGCAGUAACUGACGCUGAGGAGCGAAAGCAUGGGUAGCGAACAGGAUUAGAUACCCUGGUAGUCCAUGCCGUAAACGGUGGGCGCUAGGUGUAGGGGGCUUCCACGUCUUCUGUGCCGUAGCUAACGCAUUAAGCGCCCCGCCUGGGGAGUACGGCCGCAAGGCUA
This 860-nucleotide ribosomal RNA is filed under the name uncultured Actinomycetes bacterium. RNAcentral describes it as "bacterial SSU rRNA". It matches the Rfam family "Bacterial small subunit ribosomal RNA", at positions 26 to 896 of the family's 1533-position model. The record is from RNAcentral. Lineage: Bacteria; Bacillati; Actinomycetota; Actinomycetes.